This 641-nucleotide ribosomal RNA is filed under the name Microcystis aeruginosa. Its description in RNAcentral is "bacterial SSU rRNA". It matches the Rfam family "Bacterial small subunit ribosomal RNA", at positions 109 to 784 of the family's 1533-position model. The record is from RNAcentral. Lineage: Bacteria; Bacillati; Cyanobacteriota; Cyanophyceae; Chroococcales; Microcystaceae.
AGUAACGCGUGAGAAUCUAACUUCAGGACGGGGACAACAGUUGGAAACGACUGCUAAUACCCGAUGUGCCGAAAGGUGAAACCUAAUUGGCCUGAAGAAGAGCUUGCGUCUGAUUAGCUAGUUGGUGGGGUAAAGGCCUACCAAGGCGACGAUCAGUAGCUGGUCUGAGAGGAUGAGCAGCCACACUGGGACUGAGACACGGCCCAGACUCCUACGGGAGGCAGCAGUGGGGAAUUUUCCGCAAUGGGCGAAAGCCUGACGGAGCAACGCCGCGUGAGGGAGGAAGGUCUUUGGAUUGUAAACCUCUUUUCUCAAGGAAGAAGUUCUGACGGUACUUGAGGAAUCAGCCUCGGCUAACUCCGUGCCAGCAGCCGCGGUAAUACGGGGGAGGCAAGCGUUAUCCGGAAUUAUUGGGCGUAAAGCGUCCGCAGGUGGUCAGCCAAGUCUGCCGUCAAAUCAGGUUGCUUAACGACCUAAAGGCGGUGGAAACUGGCAGACUAGAGAGCAGUAGGGGUAGCAGGAAUUCCCAGUGUAGCGGUGAAAUGCGUAGAGAUUGGGAAGAACAUCGGUGGCGAAAGCGUGCUACUGGGCUGUAUCUGACACUCAGGGACGAAAGCUAGGGGAGCGAAAGGGAUUAAAUA